UUGAACGCUGGCGGCAUGCUUUACACAUGCAAGUCGAACGGUAACAGGUCUUCGGAUGCUGACGAGUGGCGAACGGGUGAGUAAUACAUCGGAACGUGCCUAGUAGUGGGGGAUAACUACUCGAAAGAGUAGCUAAUACCGCAUGAGAUCUACGGAUGAAAGCAGGGGACCUUCGGGCCUUGUGCUACUAGAGCGGCUGAUGGCAGAUUAGGUAGUUGGUGGGGUAAAGGCUUACCAAGCCUGCGAUCUGUAGCUGGUCUGAGAGGACGACCAGCCACACUGGGACUGAGACACGGCCCAGACUCCUACGGGAGGCAGCAGUGGGGAAUUUUGGACAAUGGGCGAAAGCCUGAUCCAGCAAUGCCGCGUGCAGGAUGAAGGCCCUCGGGUUGUAAACUGCUUUUGUACGGAACGAAAAGCCUGGGGCUAAUAUCCCCGGGUCAUGACGGUACCGUAAGAAUAAGCACCGGCUAACUACGUG
Molecule: ribosomal RNA, 481 nt
Filed under: uncultured bacterium
Lineage: Bacteria
Description: partial 16S ribosomal RNA
Rfam family: Bacterial small subunit ribosomal RNA
Source: RNAcentral